GAGGGUAUAGCUCAAGUGGUAGAGCACAUGCUUAGCAUGCACGAGGUCCUGGGUUCAGUCCCCAGUACCUUCC
RNAcentral lists this transfer RNA (73 nucleotides) under Camelus bactrianus (Bactrian camel). It matches the Rfam family "tRNA". Rfam says of the family: Transfer RNA (tRNA) molecules are approximately 80 nucleotides in length. Their secondary structure includes four short double-helical elements and three loops (D, anti-codon, and T loops). Further hydrogen bonds mediate the characteristic L-shaped molecular structure. tRNAs have two regions of fundamental functional importance: the anti-codon, which is responsible for specific mRNA codon recognition, and the 3' end, to which the tRNAs corresponding amino acid is attached (by aminoacyl-tRNA synthetases). tRNAs cope with the degeneracy of the genetic code in two manners: having more than one tRNA (with a specific anti-codon) for a particular amino acid; and 'wobble' base-pairing, i.e. permitting non-standard base-pairing at the 3rd anti-codon position. RNAcentral also lists the same sequence under 1 other name. Lineage: Eukaryota; Metazoa; Chordata; Mammalia; Artiodactyla; Camelidae. The record is from Rfam by way of RNAcentral.